CACCGCCUGGGGAGUACGACCGCAAGGUUAAAACUCAAAUGAAUUGACGGGGACCCGCACAAGUAGUGGAGCAUGUGGUUUAAUUCGAAGAUACGCGCAGAACCUUACCAACACUUGACAUGUUCGUCGCGACUCUAAGAGAUUAGAGUUUUCGGUUCGGCCGGACGAAACACAGGUGCUGCAUGGCUGUCGUCAGCUCGUGUCGUGAGAUGUUGGGUUAAGUCCCGCAACGAGCGCAACCCUCACUUUUAGUUGCCAUCAUUUAGUUGGGCACUCUGAAAGAACUGCCAGUGAUAAGCUGGAGGAAGGUGGGGAUGACGUCAAGUCCUCAUGGCCCUUACGUGUUGGGCUACACACGUGCUACAAUGGCAUUUACAAUAGGAAGCAAGAUGGCGACGUCGAGCAAAUCCUAAAAAGAUGCCUCAGUUCGGAUUGUACUCUGCAACUCGAGUACAUGAAGCUGGAAUUACUAGUAAUCGCGGAUCAGCGCGCCGCGGUGAAUACGUUCCCGGGUCUUGUACACACCGCCCGUCACACCAUGGGAGUUGGUUCUACCUUAAGGCAAGGUUUUAAACCCUUGACCACGGUAUAGUCAGCGACUGGGGUGAAGUCGUAACAAGGUAGCCGUAGGGGAACCUGCGGCUGGAUCACCUCCUUUCUAAGGAAAUCGAAAAAUAUUAAAACAAUUAUUUUCGAUUUAAAAAAAACCGGUAAUGUGACCGUCCUCAUUUCUCUUCUUUUAAUGUCUCUAAGGUAAAUCAAGGGGGCCGGUAGCUCAGUUGGUUAGAGCACACGCUUGAUAAGCGUGGGGUCGGAAGUUCGAGUCUUCCUCGGCCCACCAACAUACCAAAAAUGGGGGAUUAGCUCAGCUGGGAGAGCGCCUGAUUUGCAUUCAGGAGGUCAGCGGUUCGAUCCCGCUAUCCUCCACCAAAAUUUGAGAUAUUUAGCUUUUUUAAAUUGUGAAUAUAAUUAAUAUCAAUAUCUAUAUCCGAUUGUUUUCGAAUAUUUUAUUUGAGAACAAUCAAAACAAAAAUUUAAUUUAUUACAGAAAAAAGUUUUUUUCUG
This 1065-nucleotide small RNA is filed under the name uncultured Pelagibacterales bacterium. RNAcentral's name for it is "bacterial SSU rRNA". The stretch from base 1 to 658 matches the Rfam family "Bacterial small subunit ribosomal RNA", at positions 867 to 1533 of the family's 1533-position model. Lineage: Bacteria; Pseudomonadati; Pseudomonadota; Alphaproteobacteria; Candidatus Pelagibacterales. The record is from RNAcentral.